This 501-nucleotide unclassified non-coding RNA is filed under the name Hevea brasiliensis (rubber tree). Lineage: Eukaryota; Viridiplantae; Streptophyta; Magnoliopsida; Malpighiales; Euphorbiaceae. The record is from RNAcentral.
GAACUUUAAACAUGGCUGCAGCCUGCAGUAGAAAAAAAUUUGCUAAUAUUCAGUAAACAUAGGAAAAUUUUGAGUACAAUUUUGCAUAUAAUUCAUUUUAAGUCCACAUAACCAUGCAUAUCUCUUUGCCACCAUGAACUUUAUAGUGAUGAUGCUUCACUAUAAAGGAACUCAGAUCUAUACUUUCUUCUGAUAAUCUAGACAAUGAAAUACUUGAAUCUAGUAGAAAAUCAGCACAUUCAUAACAUCACACAAAUCUACUAGCAAUUUACUCACCAAGGGUUCAGCCUGAACAAUACCCAGGACAUGUUAUGCAGAGACUAGCAGACUCAUACAUUAGGUAGACGUCACAAAGUUUAAUCAUUAGCUUGAGUGACAAUGUCCAUUUAGUUGAUUUAUGAGAAAGGCCAAAAAAAAUAAUGAUAAGAAUCACUCUCCCAAGUAAUUUUAAUCCAAAUAGAAGAUGCAAUGGGGAGAUUCGCUAUUAUUAAGCUAUUGCAU